RNAcentral lists this ribosomal RNA (333 nucleotides) under uncultured bacterium. Its description in RNAcentral is "partial 16S ribosomal RNA". It matches the Rfam family "Bacterial small subunit ribosomal RNA", at positions 338 to 668 of the family's 1533-position model. The record is from RNAcentral.
CCUACGGGAGGCAGCAGUGAGGAAUAUUGGUCAAUGGCCGGAAGUCUGAACCAGCCAAGCCGCGUGAAGGACGACGGUGCCAAGCAUUGUAAACUUCUUUUGUCAGAGGACAAAAUCAGACUCGAGAGCCUGACCGAGAGUACUUGACGAAAAAGCAUCGGCUAACUCCGUGCCAGCAGCCGCGGUAAUACGGAGGAUUCGAGCGUUAUCCGGAUUUAUUGGGUUUAAAGGGUGCGUAGGCGGGCCGUUAAGUUAGCGGUGAAAUCCCGGGGCUCAACCCCGGGCGUGCCUUGGAUACUGUUUGUCUAGAGAGGACGAGCGGUAUGCGGAAUG